Molecule: ribosomal RNA, 500 nt
Filed under: uncultured bacterium
Lineage: Bacteria
Description: partial 16S ribosomal RNA
Rfam family: Bacterial small subunit ribosomal RNA
Source: RNAcentral
AUUGAACGCUGGCGGCAUGCCUUACACAUGCAAGUCGAACGGCAGCAUGGGAGCAAUCCUGGUGGCGAGUGGCGAACGGGUGAGUAAAGUAUCGGAACGUGCCCAGUCGUGGGGGAUAACGUAGCGAAAGUUACGCUAAUACCGCAUACGAUCUAUGGAUGAAAGCGGGGGAUCGCAAGACCUCGCGCGAUUGGAGCGGCCGAUAUCAGAUUAGGUAGUUGGUGGGGUAAAGGCUCACCAAGCCGACGAUCUGUAGCUGGUCUGAGAGGACGACCAGCCACACUGGGACUGAGACACGGCCCAGACUCCUACGGGAGGCAGCAGUGGGGAAUUUUGGACAAUGGGCGAAAGCCUGAUCCAGCCAUGCCGCGUGCAGGAUGAAGGCCUUCGGGUUGUAAACUGCUUUUGUACGGAACGAAAAGGUUUGGCCUAAUAAGCUGAGCUCAUGACGGUACCGUAAGAAUAAGCACCGGCUAACUACGUGCCAGCCGCCGCGGUAA